Molecule: RNA transcript, 842 nt
Organism: Ceratitis capitata (Mediterranean fruit fly)
Lineage: Eukaryota; Metazoa; Arthropoda; Insecta; Diptera; Tephritidae
Gene name: inhibitor of growth protein 3 pseudogene
Exons: 1
Source: RefSeq, a predicted model, not a curated record
GGUUGAAGAAAGUCAAAGGCAAAUUUAUUGCUUUCAUUCAAAUUUUUGUGUGACUAUUUAUUUUGUCUUGAAUUUUUAUGUUCUGUGAAACUUUAUUUUUCAAACUCCAAUUUUUAUAAAAAUUACAUACCUCAAGCCCUAAACAUGUUGGCAUCAAAUGCAAAGACCUCGAAGGACAAAUGUAUUACGGAGAACAACAAAAAGAAGAAAGAGGAAGUAACGGCGCAGUCGCAGUCCCUACAUACCGCACACGAAAAUGCGCCCAGUACAUCGUCAGCUGCCUGCAAUUGCCCAAGCGAGUUGUCAGGAUCAUUAAUCAUGUCCAACUCCGUUGCAACGCAAUACUCAAAUUCAAGUUUCUAUGAUUCUACAUUGCUCACGCCGCCCGAUUUGCCCUCCGAUGUGGAAGAUGAAGUGCUCUUGGCGUACAAUCCAAAUGAGCCGCGUUAUUGUAUUUGUAAUCAAAUCUCUUAUGGCUCAAUGAUUGCUUGCGACAACAAGAAGUGUCCGUAUGAAUGGUUUCAUUUUUCAUGUGUCGGUGUAAAGAAACCACCGAAGGGCAAAUGGUAUUGUCCAAUUUGUAGAGCCUCAAUGAGUCGCAAAAGUGAUGCGCGGAGGGGAAGCAAACGAAAAAUCCCUUAUUAGUGAUAUGUAGCGGAAAACAUUGCGGAAAACUAUUUUUUUUUUAUUCUAUUUUUUUUUAUUUUUGUAAAAUUACUUAAAAUGUAUUCAACUCUUUCGUUUUUUGAUAAAAUUAUGGAAACCGAUGUCAUCAUAGCUAGCAAAAGCUGUGUUCAACCGAAAAGUCAGCUAAAUUAAGUAAAUAUUGAUAUCACAACCAA